GGUCCAGUUCAAGUACCACCAUCUUCCAUUAAAUUUUUCUCUAUUGCAGACAACAAUUUUUCCGGAGAGAUCCCUUCCUUGAUUUGCAGAUUAAAUUCUCCGCAGUAUCUUUAUCUGUCUAAAACAAUAUGAGAAGAAGUAUUCCAAAAUGUUUGGAAACUUUAGCAAUCUCGCUGUCUUGGAUUUGCGAAUGACUAAUUUACAGGGAAGCAUACCGGGAACAUUUGUGGAAGAUAAAAGCCUGAGGAUACUUGACUUGAAUGGCAAUCAAUUGGAUGGGCCAUUACCAAGAUCUUUGGUUAGUUGCAGGAAGUUAGUAAUUUUGAACUUGGGGAGCAGCAAGAUGAUGGAUCUUUUCCCGACUGGUUGGAAGAUCUUCCAGAGCUACGAGCUCUUGUACUGCGAGGCAAUAGAUUCUACGGUCCCAUACCUAACUCAAAAGCUCAAUUCCCCUAUCGUAACUUGUUGGUGAUUGACCUCUCCCACAAUGACUUCACAGGUCCUUUGCCACCAAGAUACUUCCAGCAACUCCAAGAAAGGAAAAAAUGUGGAAUUUUUUAUGAGGUUUUUGUUACAAUCGCAAUCAAAGGGGUGGAUCUUGAGGUGAUUAAAGUACUUGUAUAGUUGCAAUGAUUGAUUUGUCAAAUAAUCCAUUGAAAGGAGAGGUUUCUAAAAAUAUCGGAGAGCUCGAGCAUCUAACAAGGCUUAGAGGGUGUUUGUGGUCAAAUCAA
This 731-nucleotide unclassified non-coding RNA is filed under the name Hevea brasiliensis (rubber tree). Lineage: Eukaryota; Viridiplantae; Streptophyta; Magnoliopsida; Malpighiales; Euphorbiaceae. The record is from RNAcentral.